GCUAAAAGAACUUACCGAUCCAUAGUUUUUAAGAUUGAAGAAAAGCUAAAGCAGGUUAUUGUGGAGAAGCUGGGUGAGCCAGCUCAAAGCUAUGAAGAUUUUACUGCAAGCAUCCCUGCUGAUGAGUGUCGAUAUGCUGUUUAUGAUUUUGAUUUCAUGACUGCAGAGAAUGUUCAAAAGAGCAGGAUUUUCUUCAUUGCAUGGUAAUGAUCCCCUCACCCCAACUGCAUUUAUUAUUUUCGGGCUUUGAACUGUUUUCUCAUCAUUUUUUGUGGUAUACAAGGUCCCCUGACACAUCAAGGGUGAGAAGCAAGAUGAUUUAUGCCAGCUCUAAGGACAGGUUUAAGAGAGAAUUGGAUGGUAUUCAGAUAGAGUUGCAGGCAACUGAUCCAACUGAAAUGGGUCUUGAUGUCAUUAGAAGCCGUGCCAGUUAAGUGUUUAUAGCCUGUGGCGUUGAACCUGACUGAAUUAUGAAAUCGGUUUGUUUGUUUGAGUUUUAUCCGAUAGCCCUCUUCUGGAAUCAAUCCAGUGAUUUUGAUUGUAUUUUUUUAUGAUCCAUCAUGUAAUGAACCUAUGCGAUGUGUGUUUCCUUAUAGCCAUACUUACAGUCUCUGUUGUACCAGUACUUGUUUUUUACAUUUCUGAAAAUGGAUGUUCCGACAAUUUCUCAUGUUUGCAUUAGAAGACUUGUUCUAAACAUUAAUGAAAUAUAGCGAUAAAAAACUUAAAGAGUUACUGGAUUAGUGAGAUUUAUAAACGAGUUUAAGAUUGUGAUUCAACUGCAGAUGGGAAUUCUUGGAAUUUUAUCUCUUUUUUUUGUAAUUUAUAUAGAGAUAGUUUUGUUAUUCCAAUUAGGGAAAUUGUUGCACGGUAUGUGGAUGCUAGGGUAUCAUUUGUCCCAGAUCAUGAGAGGGAGUCAUGCGUCUCCAAUUUAUUUAUUUACUAAUUUCUUGAAUUAAAAAUUGGUAAGAAUAGUUGAGAAAUAAUAAAAAAUGCCAUUCAAAAAAUUUGGUGGUUAUUUUCUUUUUAUUUAUAGUGAAAAACAAAUUUACUUCACUUUUAAGUGAAGGUAUAUUUUUUUGAAAAUGACCAAAGCUAAGUCAUCGAAUCAUUAGUCAGCUUGAAAAUUAAUUCUGUGAACGUAGAUAUUUACUAUUAUCAAGUAAAAAACAGAAAUUUAAAUUUAUUAAUUGCAAUAAAAGAAAAGUUGGAACGAAAUAAAAAGAAAAGAACUGAAGAAAUUUGGGUCCACCCGUCGGGUAAAAAACGACGUCGUUUUAAUAAAAAAAAUAGAAGUCAACGGGUUAUAACCGGGUCUUACCGGGUCAACCCGUCGAAUCACAGUGGGUUUUUUCUUUUUCUAUUUUUUUUUUAACCCUGCCCGGUUCCAUCCCCAGGUCGGUCAUGUCCCGGGUUAACUUGUCAAGUCGGGUCGAGUUUCAAAACUAUACCAGUUUGACCAUGUUUUGAAUUAAGAAUGCGAUAAUUUAAAGUAUUUUUUAUUUAUAAAUAUAUUAAAAUAAUAUAUAUAUAUAUAUAUAUAUAUUUAAUAUUAAUAUUAAUAUAUCAAAAAGUUCAUAAAUAAAAAAAUAAUUUAAAACUAAAAAAAUAAAAAUAUUCUAAAAAAUACAGUUAAACAACAAUACUAAAUACCACUGACAUAUCAAUUAAAAUUAAAUCUUAUUUUUUAAAAAUAUACUUUAUACGUCCGUGUCAUAAAUUUAGAAUAUUUUAUAAUUUCUUCUAACAAUGAUUGUAGUCUUCUUUUUUAAAAGUUUUUUUUAUCUUUUUUUACAAGAAAGCAACACAGCUGAAGGGGGCAUGAGCUGGCAUUUUAAAAAAGGAUAACAAGCGUCUAAUUGUCGUUGGAUACACGUUCUUUAUCCCUGUUGUCGAGCUGGAGCACAUCAUUGAUAUUUAUUUACAUCAGAGGAAUAUCAAUGGAGCCACCAGAAAUAUGUCAAAUUUAUUGAUUAAUUAUAGCUCAGUCCUUGUAGUUUAUAAAAACUAAUCAAUUACUCCUCGUACUUUUAGAAAUUAUACAUUUAAUUCUCAUGUUUUCUUUUAGACAUUCUUGAAGGGGAAAAAAAUGAACUGAUUUGGUAAAUGUUGAUAAUUAGAUUAUUUAAUUAUUUCUACUACUAUAGAGACCAAUUAACUAGUUUUAAUAAACUAUAGUUAUUAAGUUAUAAUGACUCUUAAAGCUAUGAAUAAAAUUUAAAUGAGUGAGUUAUAACCUUAUCCUUAUAUAUUUUUCAAACAAAUCAUUCAAUACAUGUAAUUUUUAAAAUAAUUAAUUAAUCAUUUCACCAUAUUUGAUUGUCAUGUCAGGGAUAAUAAUAGAAAAGUCGAUGUCAACAUAAGGCGAGCAUUAAGUUAUUCAAAUUCAGCUUCAAUAAAUUCAUUUUAGUUUUUUAGGUGAAAAACAUUCUCUCAACCAAAUUGUGGUUCGAAUUUUUAAUCGCUUGAAAAAAAUAGAAUGCAAACUUUUUUGUAUGAAUGCUAUGAUUAUUGGUAAUUUUUAUCAUCUUUCAUGUUUGUCUGAUAAAAAAAUGAAAAAAAAAAUAUAAUGAUAUCCCAAAAAAUCAAAGUAGUUUUAAAACAAGGUUUAUAUGUUAGUAAUUCGUUAAUAUUUUGGUUUUCACAAUAUGAUUCAUUCUUUCUAACUAAGAAGGUUGAUGAUUGAUGGUUGAUAUCUAAUUAAUACUUGUAAAAGAUCUCCAAUAAUAAAUUUAGAAACUCUCUAAUAAUUAAAUAAGUAUUUUAUGGAGAGAAAAAAUAAUGAUAUUUUUUAGAGAGAUUCUAAAAAUAAAUAUGUAGUUAAGAAUGGAAAUUGAGAACCUAGUUCAUUUAAAAUAAUUAUUUAAUUAAAUAAGUAUUUAUAAACUCUUCGAUACUUAAAUAAGUAUUUUCUUGAGAGAGAAAACAAUGAUAUUUUUAGAGAGAUUUUAAAAAUAAAUAUGCAGUCGAUAAUGAAGAUCAAGAACCUAAUUCCUUUAAGAAUCCAAUGAGUCUUUAUAGCCCAUGCUCACUGUCAUUUGGUGCUAAAACAUCUCUCAUGUGUCAAAAAUAAAAAAUAUUUCUGGCUUAUCAGGGAAAAAAUAUUUCUAACUCAUCAAAUAAGGGAUUUUUUGAUUUAUUAGAGGAAAAAUAUCUCUCUAAUUUGUUAAAAUCUCAUAUCCCAACAAAGAGUCUGAUAAGAUUGCCAAAGACAUUUGUACCUGAACUCAAUGCUUGACUGAGAUAAAGGGUAAUGAAUUUGGCAACUCACAAAACUUGUAUAUGUGUAGGCUUAAUUUUUGAUCGGGCCGAGGAUAUUGAGUUAUUAUCCUGCCUCUAAAUCAUUUAAAAAUAUAUUCAAAUAAAAAUAAAAUAUGCUGAUCUAUCAAAUUUAUUUCAAAGUUCCAAGUGGUAACAUCAAAUAUCUAUGGAUUCUAAACAUCAAAGUAAUAUGAUGGAUCUAUAAAUCAUAAUGAAAAUUUAAUUUAUUUAGAAACCAUUUCCAAAAAACAAAAAAAGAAGGUGAAAGACUAAAUAAAAGGUUAACUCAAUAUCAAGAUAAAAAAUAAAAAGAAAUAGGAUGUGAUUUUUUUUUUUGUGUAUAUUGAUAUUUAGAGUUUAUUUAGUAGUAUGGUUAUCCUGUAUUUUGUUUUAUUCAUGAUCUUGAAAGUAUCUUAUUAAUCAAAAUCUAUUAUAGUUUUACAUGAAUUCUAUUAAAAAUUCUAUUAUAAAACUUUAUUAUAGAAACAGCUUUUUUUUAAAUUUAAUUUUUUAAAUCACAAUGAUAGAAGUUACUACAACGCUCAAACAAUGAUGAUGAUUGUUGUAGGCUGGCGGUUGAGAUGAUGAAUAUACAUGUGUUAAUUUGUUGAUGAGCGAGGAAUUAAUCCUCUCAAAAAACCGUAAUUUAGAGAAGCAUGGGAAAUAUGCACGAUUUAAUUGGGCUUAUUUAAGUUUUGCAGGGCUUCUUAAGAACUCGUUUGGAAACGCGGUUGAAACCGCGUUCCCAUAAAAUUUAAAUUUUUUUUGUUAUAAUUUAAUAUAAUUUAUAUGUUUUGGAUCGUUUUGAUGUGCUGAUGUUAAAAAUGAUUUUUAAAAAAUAAAAAAACAUCAUUUGCAUACAUUUCGGCACGAAAAGUUAUUUGCAAAGCAACCGCUACUACACUGCCAAACACGCUCUAAAAGUCAGCUAUGCACAUGUAUAUUUCUAUUAUUAUUAUUAUAUUAUUAUAUACAAAAACAUAUCAGCAUAUAUGUUUUGGUUUUCUAUUGAAAUGAUCCACAAUUUUGGGCAAUUGAACCAAACUAAAACUAUUUUAGAUAAGUAAAAAAAUUCAAAAUUUCAUUCAAGAUAAAAAAACAAAUAAUUAGAUGUGUAAAACACAUGUUUUGAGCAAUUAAACCAAAAAAAAAACUAAAAAUAUUUUAGAUUAGUAAAAAAUCCAAAAUUUAAUUCAAGAAAAAAAAACAAAUAAUUAUUUCAUCUCAGAAAAUACAUAUAGGGAUUAGUUCAUCUCAGAAAAAGAAUAUAUAGGGAUUAGUUAAUUAUUUUUAAAAAAUUCAGCAACUAAAUUAUUUAUGUCUUGAGAAUACAAGAACUAAAUUAUAAUUUACCCAACUUAAAAUUCUGAUUCCAUCAACCGAGAGAGAAAAGAGAGUAGAGAGAGAGAGAGACGCAAAACAUAGAGAAGCAGCAGUCCUCCAUUUUCUCUCAAAAAGUAAAAGCCUGCGUUGAAUAGAAGAAAGCAAGACCCAACAAUCUCUCUGUCUCUAUAAAAUCUUGUUCUACCCUUGUCUUGCCUUUGUUAUUCUUGCCUCGACCGAUCCCUAUAAGAAGAAGCACAAUCAUGGUGAGUAGCCCUUUACUUGUUUCGAUCUCUAGUACUGCUAUCUGUUUUUAAGUGACGACUGAGAUGACCGUUGAUGCUCUAGAUCUGAGACUUGAUCUCUAAUUCGACGGCAGCGGCAGAUUUAAACGGCUUCGUCUUUUGUCCCUGUGCCUGCACCACUAUUCCGCUAGAUCUUACGCCACUAGUUGAUACUGUUAAUUUUAAUCAUUCAUGUCUCCGAUGCUCCAUUUCGUGUAUUUAUUUUUUCAUAAUGGUCCUAUCCGAACAGUAGUUAAACUCAGUGCUGUGUUUCUUUGAAUUUAUAGAUAGUGCGGCUUUUUGUCCGAUCUAGUCAUCUUGUUUUGUAAAUUAUUUUAGGUUACUUGUAUAAUCUCUGAUUAUUUUUUUUAUUCUCUAGAUGUCAGGAUUUAUGGUUCAGUUGAUCACCAAAUAAUCUUGAAAUGUGAUUUAAUAGACCAAAACUCAAAAAAAAAAUUAAAAAAUUAUUCAACGUGGUCCUUUAUCAUCCUGAAUUGUUCGAGUUUUUGAAGCUUUGAUGGACUAAUGUCAUGAAUCCGAAUGUUAUUUGUUCGGAUAUGUGAUCCAUGGUUUAUAAGCUGCGCCUGCUUAUGUGAUAUCUCCUCUACCAAGGCUUAUCUCGUCAAUAAGAAGGAAUUGAGGAAAUAAUAAUAGAGGGAGGAUCUCUGCUGUUAGGAACCUUGAGGAAGCUGUUGCCCGAGUGCCUUUUGUUUUCUUUGCAUUUCUGUCUCACCGCGUGUUAUUUAACUCUCUGCGUGUGCAGGCCAACGCAGCAUCUGGUAUGGCUGUGCAUGAUGACUGCAAGCUGAAGUUCUUGGAGCUGAAGGCGAAAAGAACUUACCGCUUCAUAGUUUAUAAGAUUGAGGAAAAGCAAAAGCAGGUUAUUGUGGAAAAGCUUGGCGAGCCUGCCCAAAGCUAUGAAGAUUUUACUGCAAGCCUCCCUGCUGAUGAGUGUCGCUAUGCUGUUUAUGAUUUUGAUUUUGUGACUGAAGAGAAUGUCCAGAAGAGCAGAAUUUUCUUCAUUGCAUGGUAAUGACAUUGAACAUUGUUUAUACGCUCACGCUCACGCUCACGCGCACGCUCACGCUAUCACAUAACCGUUUAUUAUUUUUGGGACUUCACUUGUAAGUUUUGCUCAUCAUUUUCUC
RNAcentral lists this long non-coding RNA (6016 nucleotides) under Populus trichocarpa (black cottonwood). Its description in RNAcentral is "long non-coding RNA (PTRI_LNC000247)". Lineage: Eukaryota; Viridiplantae; Streptophyta; Magnoliopsida; Malpighiales; Salicaceae. The record is from RNAcentral.